GCGGAGGGAUCAUUACACAACAAAAUAUGAAGGCCUGGCUUUCGCGGCCGGCUGAAGUAUUUUUUUCACCCAUGUCUUUUGCGCACUUGUUGUUUCCUGGGCGGGUUCGCCCGCCACCAGGACCAAACCAUAAACCUUUUUUUCUUAUGCAGUUUCCAUCAGCGUCAGUAAAAACAAUGUAAUUAUUACAACUUUCAACAACGGAUCUCUUGGUUCUGGCAUCGAUGAAGAACGCAGCGAAAUGCGAUACGUAGUGUGAAUUGCAGAAUUCAGUGAAUCAUCGAAUCUUUGAACGCACAUUGCGCCCUUUGGUAUUCCAAAGGGCAUGCCUGUUCGAGCGUCAUUUGUACCUUCAAGCUUUGCUUGGUGUUGGGCGUUUUUUUGUCUCCCUCUUUCUGGGAGACUCGCCUUAAAACGAUUGGCAGCCGGCCUACUGGUUUCGGAGCGCAGCACAUUUUUUGCGCUUUGUAUCAGGAGAAAAGGACGGUACUCCAUCAAGACUCUACAUUUUUCACUUUUGACCUCGGAUCAGGUAGGGAUACCCGCUGAACUUAAGCAUAUCAAUA
RNAcentral lists this ribosomal RNA (566 nucleotides) under Bipolaris oryzae. RNAcentral describes it as "eukaryotic LSU rRNA". The stretch from base 190 to 343 matches the Rfam family "5.8S ribosomal RNA". Lineage: Eukaryota; Fungi; Ascomycota; Dothideomycetes; Pleosporales; Pleosporaceae. The record is from RNAcentral.